RNAcentral lists this unclassified non-coding RNA (25 nucleotides) under Mus musculus (house mouse). Its description in RNAcentral is "oocyte_clustered_small_RNA11558". The record is from RNAcentral. Lineage: Eukaryota; Metazoa; Chordata; Mammalia; Rodentia; Muridae.
AAGAGGAUGACGCGUGUGCUACAAA